GUCAAAACUUUUUGAAGUCAGACUUUUACCUUCCCUCUUCUUUCAAGCAGUCAACACAGGGAAUGACAGGAAUGUAACUGGGACACCUGGACCUGGACCUAAGAAAUGUCUGAAAUGAUCUCUAUAAAGAUCCAGAUCCCUGUGAAACAGACAGAGAAACUGCAGCAUAGUAAAAGUAGCCUCUAUCCCUGACUGUCAGCAUGUGAAGAGCUUCUCCAGGGAAGAUCCUGAGCUGAGUUUGAUUGUGAUGAGAAGAGAUCUUAAUUUCUAGAGGCAUCUGAAAUCCAGAGGAGAAAAGCAUAAGAAAAACCACAGUUGAAAAAUAAAGCCUUACAACAUUCACUCUUGUUUUAGCCA
This is a long non-coding RNA of Coturnix japonica (Japanese quail), 357 nucleotides long. The record is from Ensembl. NCBI's taxonomy places the organism in Eukaryota, Metazoa, Chordata, Aves, Galliformes, Phasianidae.